This 912-nucleotide ribosomal RNA is filed under the name uncultured archaeon. RNAcentral describes it as "bacterial SSU rRNA". It matches the Rfam family "Archaeal small subunit ribosomal RNA", at positions 4 to 922 of the family's 1478-position model. The record is from RNAcentral.
CUGGUUGAUCCUGCCGGACCUGACUGCUAUCGGAUUGGUACUAAGCCAUGUGAGUCGUUGCAGCAAUGCAAGGCAGACGGCUCAGUAACACGUAGUCAACCUAACCUAUGGACGGGGAUAACCUCGGGAAACUGAGAAUAAUACCCGAUAGAUCAUGAUACCUGGAACGGUUUAUGGUUCAAAUGAUUUAUCGCCAUAGGAUGGGACUGCGGUCUAUCAGCUUGUUGGUGAGGUAAUGGCCCACCAAGGCUAUAACAGAUACGGGCUCUGAGAGGAGGGGCCCGGAGAUGGGUACUGAGACACGGACCCAGGUCCUAUGGGGCGCAGCAGGCGAGAAACCUUUGCAAUGUGCGAAAGCACGACAAGGUUAAUCCGAGUGAUUCCUGCUAAAGGAAUCUUUUGUUAGUCAUAAAACCACUGAUGAAUAAGGGGUGGGCAAGUUCUGGUGUCAGCCGCCGCGGUAAUACCAGCACCUCGAGUGGUCAGGAGGUUUAUUGGGCCUAAAGCAUCCGUAGCCGGCUGCUCAAGUUUCCGGUUAAAUCCACACACUUAACGUAUGGGCUGCCGGAAAUACUGUUCAGCUAGGGAGUGGGAGAGGUAGACGGUACUCGAUAGGAAGGGGUAAAAUCCUUUGAUCUAUUGAUGACCACCUGUGGCGAAGGCGGUCUACCAGAACACGUUCGACGGUGAGGGAUGAAAGCUGGGGGAGCAAACCGGAUUAGAUACCCGGGUAGUCCCAGCUGUAAACGAUGCAGACUCGGUGAUGCAUUGGCUUAUGGCCAGUGCAGUGCCGCAGGGAAGCCGUUAAGUUUGCCGCCUGGGAAGUACGUACGCAAGUAUGAAACUUAAAGGAAUUGGCGGGGGAGCACCACAAGGGGUGAAGCCUGCGGUUCAAUUGGAGUCAACGCCGGG